RNAcentral lists this ribosomal RNA (433 nucleotides) under uncultured bacterium. RNAcentral describes it as "partial 16S ribosomal RNA". It matches the Rfam family "Bacterial small subunit ribosomal RNA", at positions 29 to 507 of the family's 1533-position model. The record is from RNAcentral.
AACGAACGCUGGCGGAAUGCAUAACACAUGCAAGUCGAACGAGACCUUAGAGAAUAGUGGAGAAAGGGUAAGUACCACGUGGGAAAAUAAACUUAGGUUCGAAAUAACUCCCCGAAAGGGGUGCUAAUACCGGAUAAUGUCUUCGGACCAAAGAUUUAUCGCCUUUGGAUGGGCCCGCGUUGGAUUAGCUAGUUGGUAGGGUAAAAGCCUACCAAGGCGACGAUCCAUAGCUGGUCUGAGAGGAUGAUCAGCCACACUGGGACUGAGACACGGCCCAGACUCCUACGGGAGGCAGCAGUGGGGAAUAUUGGACAAUGGGCGAAAGCCUGAUCCAGCAAUGCCGCGUGAGUGAUGAAGGCCUUAGUGUUGUAAAGCUCUUUUACCCGGGAUGAUAAUGACAGUACCGGGAGAAUAAGCUCCGGCUAACUCCGUG